CCUACGGGAGGCAGCAGUGAGGAAUAUUGGUCAAUGGACGCAAGUCUGAACCAGCCAAGCCGCGUGAGGGAGGAAGGCUCUAUGUAUUGUAAACUGCUUUUGUACGAGGAUAAACGCAGGUACGCGUAUCUGGCUGAAAGUAUCGUACGAAUAAGGAUCGGCUAACUCCGUGCCAGCAGCCGCGGUAAUACGGAGGAUGCAAGCGUUAUCCGGAUUUAUUGGGUUUAAAGGGUGCGUAGGCGGUCGGUUAAGUUAGAGGUGAAAUCCCGAGGCUCAACUUCGGAAUUGCCUCUGAUACUGGUCGGCUAGAGAGUAGGUGCGGUAGGCGGAAGGCAUGGUGUAGCGGUGAAAUGCUUAGAGAUCACACAGAACACCGAUUGCGAAGGCAGCAUACCA
This 396-nucleotide ribosomal RNA is filed under the name uncultured bacterium. RNAcentral's name for it is "partial 16S ribosomal RNA". It matches the Rfam family "Bacterial small subunit ribosomal RNA", at positions 338 to 731 of the family's 1533-position model. The record is from RNAcentral.